GAUGAACGCUGGCGGCGUGCCUAAUACAUGCAAGUCGAGCGAACGGACGAGAAGCGUGCUUCUCUGAUGUUAGCGGCGGACGGGUGAGUAACACGUGGAUAACCGACCUAUAAGACUGGGAUAACUUCGGGAAACCGGAGCUAAUACCGGAUAAUAUUUUGAACCGCAUGGUUCAAAAGUGAAAGACGGUCUUGCUGUCACUUAUAGAUGGAUCCACGCUGCAUUAGCUAGUUGGUAAGGUAACGGCUUACCAAGGCAACGAUGCAUAGCCGACCUGAGAGGGUGAUCGGCCACACUGGAACUGAGACACGGUCCAGACUCCUACGGGAGGCAGCAGUAGGGAAUCUUCCGCAAUGGGCGAAAGCCUGACGGAGCAACGCCGCGUGAGUGAUGAAGGUCUUCGGAUCGUAAAACUCUGUUAUUAGGGAAGAACAUAUGUGUAAGUAACUGUGCACAUCUUGACGGUACCUAAUCAGAAAGCCACGGCUAACUACGUG
This 497-nucleotide ribosomal RNA is filed under the name uncultured bacterium. RNAcentral's name for it is "partial 16S ribosomal RNA". It matches the Rfam family "Bacterial small subunit ribosomal RNA", at positions 28 to 507 of the family's 1533-position model. The record is from RNAcentral.